Molecule: ribosomal RNA, 109 nt
Filed under: Flavobacteriaceae bacterium
Lineage: Bacteria; Pseudomonadati; Bacteroidota; Flavobacteriia; Flavobacteriales; Flavobacteriaceae
Source: RNAcentral
UAAGGUGACUAUUGCAUUGGGGCUCACCUCUUCCCAUCUCGAACAGAGAAGUUAAGCCCAAUAGCGCAGAUGGUACUGCCACUGGUGGAAGAGUAUGUCGUCGCCUUCU